RNAcentral lists this transfer RNA (74 nucleotides) under subsurface metagenome. RNAcentral describes it as "tRNA-Asp". It matches the Rfam family "tRNA". From Rfam's summary of the family: Transfer RNA (tRNA) molecules are approximately 80 nucleotides in length. Their secondary structure includes four short double-helical elements and three loops (D, anti-codon, and T loops). The record is from RNAcentral.
GGCGGAAGUAGUUCAGUGGUAGAAUGCUUGCUUGUCAAGGAAGAGGUCGCGAGUUCGAAUCCCGUCUUCCGCUU